Neoarius graeffei (lesser salmon catfish) is the source of this 437-nucleotide long non-coding RNA. RefSeq lists it as uncharacterized. The record is from RefSeq and is a predicted model, not a curated record. The transcript has 4 exons. NCBI's taxonomy places the organism in Eukaryota, Metazoa, Chordata, Actinopteri, Siluriformes, Ariidae.
UGUGCAUUUAGGUGCUUGAUCUCAUGCACUUCUUCCUGACACUGACACUAAUCACAAGAAUCUCUUCUCCAGCAGCACAGCUCAUCUGUUUUAGUCGGAAACGUGUUUGGACGUGAUGGAGCCUGCAAAGGAGAACUAAAGGAAAUAACCGGAUUAAGAGUGAAGCAGACGUUUGACUUUCUGAGAGAAUGUCGGGGGAGUGUGAAGAAAUCACAACCACUGAAAUGAGUCUUCCUGAGGGGAAAUGCAAGAAUCAAAGUGCAACAGAGAAAAGGCCAAAUUCUCCUGAAGUCAGCUGUGUGUCCUUGAAGAGUGAUCGGUCAAUGCCGGAGUUUAUGGACUUUAAAGGUGGACCAUCCUCUCAGGAAAGUGCAACAGAGAAAAGGCCAAAUUCUCCUGAAGUCAGCUGUGUGUCCUUGAAGAGUGAUCGGUCAAUG